UCUCCUGGAAACGGGUGGUAAUGCCGGAUGUUCCACAUGAUCGCAUGUGAUUGUGGGAAAGAUUCUAUCGGCGUGGGAUGGGGUCGCGUCCUAUCAGCUUGUUGGUGAGGUAACGGCUCACCAAGGCUUCGACGGGUAGCCGGCCUGAGAGGGCGACCGGCCACAUUGGGACUGAGAUACGGCCCAGACUCCUACGGGAGGCAGCAGUGGGGAAUAUUGCACAAUGGGCGCAAGCCUGAUGCAGCGACGCCGCGUGAGGGAUGGAGGCCUUCGGGUUGUAAACCUCUUUUGUUUGGGAGCAAGCCUUCGGGUGAGUGUACCUUUCGAAUAAGCGCCGGCUAACUACGUGCCAGCAGCCGCGGUAAUACGUAGGGCGCAAGCGUUAUCCGGAUUUAUUGGGCGUAAAGGGCUCGUAGGCGGCUCGUCGCGUCCGGUGUGAAAGUCCAUCGCUUAACGGUGGAUCUGCGCCGGGUACGGGCGGGCUGGAGUGCGGUAGGGGAGACUGGAAUUCCCGGUGUAACGGUGGAAUGUGUAGAUAUCGGAAAGAACACC
RNAcentral lists this ribosomal RNA (552 nucleotides) under Bifidobacterium bifidum. RNAcentral describes it as "bacterial SSU rRNA". It matches the Rfam family "Bacterial small subunit ribosomal RNA", at positions 146 to 710 of the family's 1533-position model. The record is from RNAcentral. Lineage: Bacteria; Bacillati; Actinomycetota; Actinomycetes; Bifidobacteriales; Bifidobacteriaceae.